RNAcentral lists this ribosomal RNA (253 nucleotides) under uncultured bacterium. Its description in RNAcentral is "partial 16S ribosomal RNA". It matches the Rfam family "Bacterial small subunit ribosomal RNA", at positions 524 to 776 of the family's 1533-position model. The record is from RNAcentral.
UACGGGGGGGGCAAGCGUUGUUCGGAAUUACUGGGCGUAAAGGGCCAGUAGGCGGCCAACUAAGUCGGAUGUGAAAUCCCCAGGCUUAACCUGGGAACUGCAUCCGAUACUGGAUGGCUUGAAUUCGGGAGAGGGAUGCAGAAUUCCAGGUGUAGCGGUGAAAUGCGUAGAUAUCGGGAGGAACAUCGAUGGCGAAGGCAAUCACCUGGGCCUGAACUGACACUGAGACACGAAAGCGUGGGUAGCAAACAGG